GAUGAACGCUGGCGGCGUGCCUAAUACAUGCAAGUCGAGCGAACAGACGAGGAGCUUUCUCCUCUGACGUUAGCGGCGGACGGGUGAGUAACACGUGGAUAACCUACCUAUAAGACUGGGAUAACUUCGGGAAACCGGAGCUAAUACCGGAUAAUAUAUUGAACCGCAUGGUUCACUAGUGAAAGACGGUUUUGCUGUCACUUAUAGAUGGAUCCGCGCAGCAUUAGCUAGUUGGUAAGGUAACGGCUUACCACGGCUACGAUGCGUAGCCGACCUGAGAGCGUGAUCGGCCACACUGGAACUGAGACACGGUCCAGACUCCUACGGGAGGCAGCAGUAGGGAAUCUUCCGCAAUGGGCGAAAGCCUGACGGAGCAACGCCGCGUGAGUGAUGAAGGUCUUCGGAUCGUAAAACUCUGUUAUUAGGGAAGAACAAAUGUGUAAGUAACUAUGCACGUCUUGACGGUACCUAAUCAGAAAGCCACGGCUAACUACGUG
RNAcentral lists this ribosomal RNA (497 nucleotides) under uncultured bacterium. RNAcentral describes it as "partial 16S ribosomal RNA". It matches the Rfam family "Bacterial small subunit ribosomal RNA", at positions 28 to 507 of the family's 1533-position model. The record is from RNAcentral.